AUGAAUCUUCUUUGGCAAUUCGAUAGAAUAAUUCUAAUUGUGAAGUUCCUUAGGUCAAAUAUCCCCAAAGACCCCGGUAGCAUCAGUGCCACAAACCAGAGCUCCUUGUUUCCCUGUGUUAGAUCUAAUACAACACUAAAUGAAUUUCUUUCUAGUGUUACAGUUCCUGUCAACCUCUGGCCUCAAGGAAACUUGCCUAGAAGUAUGGAAUUCACAACCCUUCUCCUACAAGAUGUGCCCCAUUCUCCCUACCUACCAGGUGGAGAAAGGGGAAUGUUAGCUUUUGCACUAAGGACCUCUUUCUCAGAGCCAAGCUGCUCCACCUGCCCUUCAAAAUUCUGGAAUAUCCUGACAGAUCAAGCACACAGAAGAUUACAAGAUGUAUCAGUUGAAGACAUGACCACAAGGGCUAUGACUGAAAUCAAAUUGAAUGAUUCCCCUGAGACUGAAGAACAAGAGGGAAGUCUUCAAUCAUUUAGCAAAAAGUGGAAAGUUCAGAGAAGAAGUAUAUUUAGAGGAGACGUUAUUCUGGUUUAGAUAGAUUAAGUUCAAGUGACUACAUCACAUUAAAGAGGAAAUGCCCAAUGGCAUUCAAGAAAUUAGGAAUGGAUAUAUAGAUGUAGGAAUUAUCUAUAGAGGGGAUACCUGAAUCAUAUGGGAGCAGAAGAGAUCAUCAAGGGAAAGAGCAAGGAAAGUAAGAAAAUAGGCUCCAGAAUAGAAUCCUCUGGCACACCCAUGCUCAGGGAGAGCAAGAUAAAUAGUGAAGCAAUAAUGAAGACUGGAAAGGCAAGGUCAUACAUGUAAAAAGAGAACCAGAAGGGAGCAGUGUCAUGGAGCCCAAGGGAACAGAAGCUUAAUUGAGGAGGAGAAGAGCAGUCCAUGUUAUUUAAAAAAACAAAACUUCACAGAAGUUUUAAAAAAUCAUUAAGGGGGAAACAAAACUAGUAGAUUUAAAGGUUGAAAAGUCCUUGGCAAAUUUGUAAAGAGCAAUUUCAUUCAAAGAAUGGAACUGGAAACCAGA
This 1021-nucleotide long non-coding RNA is filed under the name Monodelphis domestica (gray short-tailed opossum). RNAcentral describes it as "lncRNA (ENSMODG00000031538.2)". The record is from RNAcentral. Lineage: Eukaryota; Metazoa; Chordata; Mammalia; Didelphimorphia; Didelphidae.